GCUUUGGGGGGCGGGUAGGUAUCUUUUGUUGUUGUUGUGGUGGUUUACACCACGGGGAUGAAACACCUCAGGUCCGGGUGUGAGAAGCUGUAAGCUUGA
Molecule: non-coding RNA, 99 nt
Filed under: Polarella glacialis
Lineage: Eukaryota; Dinophyceae; Suessiales; Suessiaceae
Source: RNAcentral